This 253-nucleotide ribosomal RNA is filed under the name uncultured bacterium. Its description in RNAcentral is "partial 16S ribosomal RNA". It matches the Rfam family "Bacterial small subunit ribosomal RNA", at positions 524 to 776 of the family's 1533-position model. The record is from RNAcentral.
UACGGAGGGUGCAAGCGUUAUCCGGAUUUACUGGGUUUAAAGGGUGCGUAGGCGGAUAUUUAAGUCAGCGGUGAAAUCUCCAGGCUUAACCUGGAAAUUGCCAUUGAUACUAUUUAUCUUGAAUUAUCUGGAGGUGAGCGGAAUAUGUCAUGUAGCGGUGAAAUGCUUAGAUAUGACAUAGAACACCAAUUGCGAAGGCAGCUUGCUACACGGAUAUUGACUCUGAGGCACGAAAGCGUGGGGAGCAAACAGG